UGCGCCGUGGAGAAAAGGUUUCUCGUUGGCCCCAUAAGCCAGAGAUUGCGGGUUCGAAUCCCGUCGGCGCUA
Molecule: transfer RNA, 72 nt
Filed under: Deltaproteobacteria bacterium
Lineage: Bacteria; Pseudomonadati; Myxococcota; Myxococcia
Description: tRNA-Met
Rfam family: tRNA
About the family: Transfer RNA (tRNA) molecules are approximately 80 nucleotides in length.
Source: RNAcentral